UACGUAGGGUGCAAGCGUUGUCCGGAUUUAUUGGGCGUAAAGAGCUCGUAGGCGGCUUAGAAAGUCAGGUGUGAAACCUCCAGGCUCAACCUGGAGACGCCACUUGAUACUUCUAUAGCUAGAGUUCGGUAGGGGUAAGCGGAAUUCCUGGUGUAGCGGUGAAAUGCGCAGAUAUCAGGAGGAACACCGAUGGCGAAGGCAGCUUACUGGGCCGAUACUGACGCUGAGGAGCGAAAGCGUGGGGAGCGAACAGG
Molecule: ribosomal RNA, 254 nt
Filed under: uncultured bacterium
Lineage: Bacteria
Description: partial 16S ribosomal RNA
Rfam family: Bacterial small subunit ribosomal RNA
Source: RNAcentral